GGAGUGUGGGCGUGGUGGAGGCGGAGCCAAGGACAGAGUCGGAGGACCAGUUCAAUCUGGGCCUGCUUGCUUUUCUCUGUGUGUUCGGACCCUGCUGUUAUCCAUAGGACAAGCUCUGUGACCCUCGCCUGGGACUGACUGGUCUAUGUUCUUUGGGAACCAAUUUCUCUUUGUGAGGUAGAGCACAACCUCCUAGUCUUCCGGGCGGGCCACUCAUUUACCCUGUCAAACUCAGGGGCGGAGCAAUGGGGAACGAAGCUGUAGGGAGCUGAUAAACUCCCAGUUUGAAAACCGAGAUUGUGAGCCCCAGCAGCGAUUCCAGAUUGCUGCCCUACAGGCAGAUGUGUCUUUAUUGGUCUUUAUCGGUCACAUCAGGGUCUUGAUUAGCGUCUUGAGAACUUGAAGCAAACAAUUGCUUAUGGCGUGUCGUUCUUAGACUUAGCCUAGGCAUACCAGAAGUUUACAGCGAAAAAAAUCAGUAGCAAAGCAUCCUAUGAAGGUAAUGUAUGUAGUACAAGGGUUAAAAUCCUGAAUGCCUCUUAAUAGAUGUGUGGCCUUGAGAACAUUUCACUUCCUUGAGCCUCAGUUUCCUGAUCUAUACCAGGAUGCAGAUAACCAUCUGGUAGUGUGGCUGCGAGGGCUAGAGUUUAACAAAUGUAGUUAGGCACUGUUAAGUAAAAGACAACAAAUCCAUUUGUUACUGAAUCUAGUGGAUGAGAAACCAUGUAAGGAAUUUCAGUUUGUUUUAUUUGUUUAAAGCAGGAAGAUGGCAAUCCAAGAUACUGGAAUUCUCUAUUUACACAGUCCUCCCGCCUGAAGUAUGAACGGAGAAACAGAUGGAGAAAGGAAUAGUCUUAUUAACCACAAGGUGGCACACUAGAAGGCGGCAAGCAGGCUUUUGCGUUUCAAUGUCCAUCUUUCCCUUUUGCCCUGUUUUUCAGGGCAUGUGGGUGUUUUUUGGGGUAUGUGGGCCCCAAACAGGUGGAGCCUGGGUGACCCCGUGUUCCAAAGAGCAGCCUGUUCUGGUGUCCUGGUUCUGCACAUCUUACCUUCUUUAUGUAGAGCCGUGAGGUGUUCAGUUCAACACUUUUGUGUUGAUUAAAAUUAAAAUGUCUGGUUAUUGCUGAGGUCAGCUUUUCUGGCAAGCAUCAACUCCAGGAAAUUGACCUCUCAUAACCUGAGACAAGGGAGGAAGGGGAGGGACUAUGUUUUUAGCUAACUUCAAUGAGCAGGUGUUCGACAAAAGGUAAAUUUCAGUGGGCAGCUAAUUCUGGAGAGUGCAGUAUGGAAUAUGCAGAAAUGGGGGUAUUAUGCAUGUUUUUAUUCCCAAGAAGCAGUUUUGGCUUUCUUCUUAUUUGUGUGUUAAAGUGUCAUAUGGGAGUGAUUAGGGGUGGGAGAAAGUUUGUCAACAUGAAGUCAGGAUGUGAAUAUUCACUGCCCAGACUAUAUAAGAAGCAAAAUUGGAAUCAAGUAGGAGGAUCUUAUAUGCAUGCACGAUCUCCAACACACACACACACACACACACACACACACACACACACACACACACACACACACACACCAGGGGCAGGGGAGGGUUCCUUAAAUAGUAGAGCACAGAGGAAGGGUAGGGAAGUUCACUGCAGUUCUACAUCUGCCCUCCAGAACCUUGGUUCUUGUGGAAGCUGCAAUGAAUAAGGACUAGUAAGGGAGAGGCAUAGCCAGGAGGUUCACUGGGAGGCUUGGAUUAUUUGUAAAAGCCAAUGUUGGAUCUAGACGUCAGUGUUUGCUCUUUAUAGACAGGCACAGUCGUGAAGCUUCAAGCUGCUAGCUGUUUCGAUAGCAUCUCAUGGAGAUCUCAUUGUCCAGGUGAUACUGACAGUUCACUCAGGGAUAUUCUAGGGUGAGGAUUCAAGACUCGUCUUUAUUCAUGUAAGGAGAAAAACGGGAAUGUCUUUAUCUUAGCAGGAGAGCUCAUUUUCUCCUUAGGAAACAGUGUCAAUGGUUUUUAGACUUACUAAUUGGAAACCAGGAGGCUGGUGUGAUCUAAAGAGUUCUAGCUUCCAAGGGGCCUUUCAUGAGUCCACAGGACCCUGCCUGCUAAUAGACCUGCAUGGCUAAUAGAACAUUCUGCCAUGACGGAAAACUUCCUCUGUUCUGUCCAGUAUGGCAGCGCUGGCCACAUUUGACUGAUGUCUGCUUGAACUGUGGCUGCUGUGAGUGAGAAACUGAGCUCUAAGUUGUACUUAAUUUUGCUUUUGAACAGACAGCUAGUUCUGUUAGUAGAAAAACUGUAAGUAUAUUUGAAAAACUUGGGUAGAGGAGCUCUUGAGAGGGUUCAGUUAGUAAAGGCUCAGGCCACCAAGUCUGACUGACUGAGUUUGACUCUCAGGAUCUGCAUAGUAGAAAAGAGUACUGACUCCUUAAGUUGUCCCUUAAAACACACACAUGCACACACACACACACAUACACACUCACUGAAUAAAUGUGAUUUAAAAGGCAUACACAUAUCCUUUGGGUUCUAAAGACUACAACAUCUAAAUAUAGAUCAAACACUUCUGAUGAAGACUUUGUGUUCAAGUUGAGAUCUAAUAUGCUUUGUAUUCUUACAUAUUAAAAACCAUAAUAUUCUGGGUUGACUAGCUAAAAUAAAACAUGGAAAUCUG
RNAcentral lists this long non-coding RNA (2645 nucleotides) under Mus musculus (house mouse). RNAcentral's name for it is "RIKEN cDNA I830134H01 gene (ENSMUSG00000069554.5)". Lineage: Eukaryota; Metazoa; Chordata; Mammalia; Rodentia; Muridae. The record is from RNAcentral.